AAUAGGAAUCAAACUGAGCAAAAAAAAUUAAGAAGGUAACAAGCUAAACAUUUUCUGCAGUAUAAUUUAUAAACCAACACCUAUGCCAUAUAGGAGAUAUAGGCAGGCAGUAGUAAGCAUCAUGCCAAGGACCGUAGAAAAAAAUGUAUAUACAUCCUUAAAAAAAAAAUAUUGGAAAAUAUUCUGGUUUAUCCUAAUCCAUCCAAACAAUAGCAUGGCUCCUUACUCACAGACAUUGAUUUUCACACUAAUGAAUGCAAAAAUCAAUGAAUGUAGUGGCAAUUUAUUGAGCACUGCAGAGUCUCUGGGCCGUAUUACAAGUCAAACCCGAGAAGUUUUGGGUCCCUACAAAGGUCGGGAUGAAUAACUCUGUAGGGGACUGUAGGGUGAGUAAACCAGGUGAGUAAACCCCAAACUUCCCAGGUUGGACUUGUAAUAUGGCCCAUCAGCGCCGUUGGUAUGGUUGUGUUAGGUUUGCCAGGGCUGGGUUAAUUCAGGUUAAUAUUAUUGUUAAAUGUUAUGUUUUGUUUCUUAAUUAUUAUGGUUAAAGGGCAUGUUGUUUCUUAUUUAUUAUGGUUAAAGGGCAUGUUUUGUUUCUUAUUUAAUAUGGUUAAAAGGCAUGUUGUUUCUUAUUUAUUAUGGUUAAAGGGCAUGUUGUUUCUUAUUUAUUAUGGUUAAAGGGCAUGUUUUGUUUCUUAUUUAUUAUGGUUUUAGGGCAUGUUUUGUUUCUUAUUUAUUAUGGUUAAAGGGCAUGUUGUUUCUUAUUUAUUAUGGUUAAAGGGCAUGUUUUGUUUCUUAUUUAUUAUGGUUAAAGGGCAUGUUGUUUCUUAUUUAUUAUGGUUAAAGGGCAUGUUGUUUCUUAUUUAUUAUGGUUAAAGGGCAUGUUGUUUCUUAUUUAUUAUGGUUAAAGGGCAUAUUUUGUUUCUUAUUUUUUCCCCCUAUAACCAUAAUGUGAAGGUGUAUGGUAGUUUGAGGUGGUGGAGCUAAACUACACAUCUACCCUAUAACCAUAAUAUGAAGGUAUAUGGUAGUUUGAGGUGGUGGAGCUAAACUACACAUCUACUCUAUAACCAUAAUAUGAAGGUGUAUGGUAGUUGGAGGUGGUGGAGCUAAACUACACAUCUACCCUAUAACCAUAAUGUGAAGGUGUAUGGUAGUUUGAGGUGGUGGAGCUAAACUACACAUCUACCCUAUAACCAUAAUAUGAAGAUGUAUGGUAGUUUGAGGUGGUGGAGCUAAACUACACAUCUACCCUAUAACCAUAAUAUGAAGGUAUAUGGUAGUUUGAGGUGGUGGAGCUAAACUACACAUCUACCAAUGGCACCAGUGGAAAUGUUAGAAUAGCACCAAUAAAACUACAAGAACAGUACCAGUAUAUAGGUAAGCAGAUACGAAGAAGGGAAGGGAUAUUAAGGAAGGAAAAUGGAAAUAUAAAGAAAAAAUGAAGGAAGGAGAAAGCAAAGAACACAAGGAAUGACAAAACGGUGAUGGGAAGGAAGAGAAAAGAAUGCAAAGAAUAAGCAGAAGGAAAAUGGAAAUAUAAAGAAAAAAUGAAGGAAGGAGAAAGCAAAGAACACAAGGAAUGACAAAACGGUGAUAGG
Eriocheir sinensis (Chinese mitten crab) is the source of this 1601-nucleotide long non-coding RNA. RefSeq lists it as uncharacterized. The transcript has 2 exons. The record is from RefSeq and is a predicted model, not a curated record. Lineage: Eukaryota; Metazoa; Arthropoda; Malacostraca; Decapoda; Varunidae.